This 497-nucleotide ribosomal RNA is filed under the name uncultured bacterium. RNAcentral describes it as "partial 16S ribosomal RNA". It matches the Rfam family "Bacterial small subunit ribosomal RNA", at positions 28 to 507 of the family's 1533-position model. The record is from RNAcentral.
GAUGAACGCUGGCGGCGUGCCUAAUACAUGCAAGUCGAGCGAACAGACGAGGAGCUUGCUCCUCUGACGUUAGCGGCGGACGGGUGAGUAACACGUGGAUAACCUACCUAUAAGACUGGGAUAACUUCGGGAAACCGGAGCUAAUACCGGAUAAUAUAUUGAACCGCAUGGUUCAAUAGUGAAAGACGGUUUUGCUGUCACUUAUAGAUGGAUCCGCGCCGCAUUAGCUAGUUGGUAAGGUAACGGCUUACCAAGGCGACGAUGCGUAGCCGACCUGAGAGGGUGAUAGGCCACACGGGAACGGAGACACGGUCCAGACUCCUACGGGAGGCAGCAGUAGGGAAUCUGCCGCAAUGGGCGAAAGCCUGACGGAGCAACGCCGCGUGAGUGAUGAAGGUCUUCGGAUCGUAAAACUCUGUUAUUAGGGAAGAACAAAUGUGUAAGUAACUAUGCACGUCUUGACGGUACCUAAUCAGAAAGCCACGGCUAACUACGUG